GAUGAACGCUGGCGGCGUGCCUAAUACAUGCAAGUCGAGCGGUAACACUUCGGGUGACGAGCGGCGGACGGCAGAGUAACGCGUAGGAACAUACCCCAAACUGAGGGAUAAGCACCGGAAACGGUGUCUAAUACCGCAUAUUAUCUUUGGAUCAAAGCUUCGGCGGUUUGGGAGUGGCCUGCGUAUGAUUAGCUUGUUGGUGAGGUAAUGGCUCACCAAGGCGACGAUCAUUAGCUGGUCUGAGAGGAUGAUCAUCCUGACUGGGACUGA
RNAcentral lists this ribosomal RNA (270 nucleotides) under uncultured bacterium. RNAcentral describes it as "partial 16S ribosomal RNA". It matches the Rfam family "Bacterial small subunit ribosomal RNA", at positions 28 to 322 of the family's 1533-position model. The record is from RNAcentral.